GAUGAACGCUGGCGGCGUGCCUAAUACAUGCAAGUCGAGCGAACGGACGAGAAGCUUGCUUUUCUGAUGUUAGCGGCGGACGGGUGAGUAACACGUGGAUAACCUACCUAUAAGACUGGGAUAACUUCGGGAAACCGGAGCUAAUACCGGAUAAUAUUUUGAACCGCAUGGUUCAAAAGUGAAAGACGGUCUUGCUGUCACUUAUAGAUGGAUCCGCGCUGCAUUAGCUAGUUGGUAAGGUAACGGCUUACCAAGGCAACGAUGCAUAGCCGACCUGAGAGGGGGAUCGGCCACACUGGAACUGAGACACGGUCCAGACUCCUACGGGAGGCAGCAGUAGGGAAUCUUCCGCAAUGGGCGAAAGCCUGACGGAGCAACGCCGCGUGAGUGAUGAAGGUCUUCGGAUCGUAAAACUCUGUAUUAGGGAAGAACAUAUGUGUAAGUAACUGUGCACAUCUUGACGGUACCUAAUCAGAAAGCCACGGCUAACUACGUG
RNAcentral lists this ribosomal RNA (496 nucleotides) under uncultured bacterium. RNAcentral describes it as "partial 16S ribosomal RNA". It matches the Rfam family "Bacterial small subunit ribosomal RNA", at positions 28 to 507 of the family's 1533-position model. The record is from RNAcentral.